Transfer RNA from Theileria orientalis strain Shintoku, 69 nucleotides. It matches the Rfam family "tRNA". From Rfam's summary of the family: Transfer RNA (tRNA) molecules are approximately 80 nucleotides in length. Their secondary structure includes four short double-helical elements and three loops (D, anti-codon, and T loops). Further hydrogen bonds mediate the characteristic L-shaped molecular structure. tRNAs have two regions of fundamental functional importance: the anti-codon, which is responsible for specific mRNA codon recognition, and the 3' end, to which the tRNAs corresponding amino acid is attached (by aminoacyl-tRNA synthetases). tRNAs cope with the degeneracy of the genetic code in two manners: having more than one tRNA (with a specific anti-codon) for a particular amino acid; and 'wobble' base-pairing, i.e. permitting non-standard base-pairing at the 3rd anti-codon position. Lineage: Eukaryota; Apicomplexa; Aconoidasida; Piroplasmida; Theileriidae. The record is from Rfam.
ACAUAUGUAAUUUAAUUAAAAUAUUAACCUUCCAAGUUAAAAUUAAGGGUUAAAAUCCCUUUAUAUGUA